AGAGUUUGAUCCUGGCUCAGGAUGAACGCUGGCGGUCUGCUUAACACAUGCAAGUCGAACGCAACCUUCGGGUUGAGUGGCGGACGGGUGAGUAACGCGUGAGAAUCUGCCUUAGGGUCGGGGACAACCACUGGAAACGGUGGCUAAUACCGGAUAAGCCGAUUGGUGAAAGAUUUAUUGCCCGAAGAGGAGCUCGCGUCUGAUUAGCUAGUUGGUGAGGUAAGAGCUCACCAAGGCAGCGAUCAGUAGCUGGUCUGAGAGGACGAUCAGCCACACUGGGACUGAGACACGGCCCAGACUCCUACGGGAGGCAGCAGUGGGGAAUUUUCCGCAAUGGGCGAAAGCCUGACGGAGCAAGACCGCGUGAGGGAGGAAGGCUCUUGGGUUGUAAACCUCUUUUCUCAGGGAAGAAGCUCUGACGGUACCUGAGGAAUCAGCCUCGGCUAACUCCGUGCCAGCAGCCGCGGUAAUACGGAGGAGGCAAGCGUUAUCCGGAAUUAUUGGGCGUAAAGCGUCCGCAGGUGGCGAUUCAAGUCUGCUGUCAAAGCACGGGGCUUAACUCCGUUAAGGCAGUGGAAACUGAA
This 584-nucleotide ribosomal RNA is filed under the name uncultured bacterium. Its description in RNAcentral is "bacterial SSU rRNA". It matches the Rfam family "Bacterial small subunit ribosomal RNA", at positions 8 to 637 of the family's 1533-position model. The record is from RNAcentral.